GACGGGUGAGUAAUGCCUAGGAAUCUGCCUGGUAGUGGGGGACAACGUUUCGAAAGGAACGCUAAUACCGCAUACGUCCUACGGGAGAAAGCAGGGGACCUUCGGGCCUUGCGCUAUCAGAUGAGCCUAGGUCGGAUUAGCUAGUUGGUGGGGUAAAGGCUCACCAAGGCGACGAUCCGUAACUGGUCUGAGAGGAUGAUCAGUCACACUGGAACUGAGACACGGUCCAGACUCCUACGGGAGGCAGCAGUGGGGAAUAUUGGACAAUGGGCGAAAGCCUGAUCCAGCCAUGCCGCGUGUGUGAAGAAGGUCUUCGGAUUGUAAAGCACUUUAAGUUGGGAGGAAGGGCAUUAACCUAAUACGUUGGUGUUUUGACGUUACCGACAGAAUAAGCACCGGCUAACUCUGUGCCAGCAGCCGCGGUAAUACAGAGGGUGCAAGCGUUAAUCGGAAUUACUGGGCGUAAAGCGCGCGUAGGUGGUUUGUUAAGUUGAAUGUGAAAUCCCCGGGCUCAACCUGGGAACUGCAUCCAAAACUGGCAAGCUAGAGUAG
Molecule: ribosomal RNA, 552 nt
Filed under: Pseudomonas sp.
Lineage: Bacteria; Pseudomonadati; Pseudomonadota; Gammaproteobacteria; Pseudomonadales; Pseudomonadaceae
Description: bacterial SSU rRNA
Rfam family: Bacterial small subunit ribosomal RNA
Source: RNAcentral